UUUUUAAAAAGUACAAAUUUUACUGGAACCAUACAGAGAAGGUUAGCAUGGCCCCUGCGCAAGGAUGACACGCAAAUUCGUGAAGCGUUCCAUAUUUUU
This 99-nucleotide small nuclear RNA is filed under the name Physeter macrocephalus (sperm whale). Lineage: Eukaryota; Metazoa; Chordata; Mammalia; Artiodactyla; Physeteridae. The record is from RNAcentral.